Molecule: non-coding RNA, 30 nt
Filed under: Rattus norvegicus (Norway rat)
Lineage: Eukaryota; Metazoa; Chordata; Mammalia; Rodentia; Muridae
Source: RNAcentral
UGCAUGAAUCAAAUCCGGUCACCCAGAUGA